This 322-nucleotide ribosomal RNA is filed under the name uncultured eukaryote. Its description in RNAcentral is "partial 18S ribosomal RNA". It matches the Rfam family "Eukaryotic small subunit ribosomal RNA", at positions 1470 to 1796 of the family's 1831-position model. The record is from RNAcentral.
CCCUUAGAUGUUCUGGGCCGCACGCGUGCUACACUGAGUGGAUCAGCGGGUCAGGUUGCGCGAAAGCGUUUCCUAAUCUUGAAAUCCGCUCGUGAUGGGGAUUGACGGUUGCAAUUUUCUGUCAUGAACGAGGAAUACCUUGUAAGCGCGGGUCAUCAUCCCGCGCUGAAUACGUCCCUGCCCUUUGUACACACCGCCCGUCGCUCCUACCGAUUGAGUGGUCCGGUGAGGCUUUGGGAUCUGAGCGGAAAGAGCGUUUCGCUCGUUCUGCCCGGAAAACUCAGUCGAACCUUAUCAUUUAGAGGAAGGGGAAGUCGUAACA